CAUGUCAUUUCCUGAUUCAGGGUCAACAACAUGGCGCUGUCCAUGGACUAUGUCAUCAAAUGGUUUGAGUGAUAUUUUCCUACGAGUGCCAUCUAUUUCUAUGGUACUUACUUAAUAUUGUACAAGAGCUUAUGCAGAGGCAUUAGAUCGUUAUUCAAUUGAUUGUAUUCGUAGUUUUUUUUUUCCAUCGUCAAAGACUAUUGAUCAAGUGUCUACCUAUUGUUCAAACGUGUGGACUCGCAGUCGAGAGAGGAUGAGAUGGUUUCCAGAGCUGUUUGCCCAGUGUACUGGUGGGGCUGCAGUUUAUGGGAAGUGUGUGACUGCUUCCACCACAGGCAGACAGGAGCUGAGAAAGGACCUGUGUGUUAGUUUGAUGCUCUGAAGGCUUGCUUUGUUUACAGCAGCCAAGAAGAAUCUUCAACACAACCAGGCAAUGGACCCAAUGUCCCCUCCAUGUUCCAUGAACAUCAUAUAGUACUGUAUCAGUAAUGUGCUGGCAGGUGCUGAAAGACUUCUUGUCUCACCUGUUUAAAAUUGGUUUCAGGGGUAAUGCCAGGACAGUGUUUGGACAACACUCUUUUCAAUAAUGCUUUAAUGUCAUACUGUGUACUAACAUGGAGCCCACUACCGAAGACUUGUAGGACUGUGUCUUUAUAAUAUAAUGUCCUUUAUGGCUCAGUUGGUAGAGCAUGGAGCUUGCAACGGCAGGAUUGUGGGUUUGUGUCCUGGGGUCACUGAUACGUAAAAUGUAUGCACAGCAAGGAUGACUUAGUCGAUUUGGAUAAAAGCAUCUGCUAAAUGGAAUAUUGUUAUGUAAAUAUGUGUAUGGGGUCGCUUUUGUUCAUGUACACAACACAUUUUGACAACUGAAACUAUUUUGCACAUUUUCAAAAAAUACAAUGAGUUGAAAGCUUUACAGAAAAAUAAACUCUUAUUCUAAAGAAGUCAUGAGCAGUUAUGAAGCCACUAUUGAUGUCCUCUCUCUGUGGAGUCCAUUUCAUUCUCUGUCCUUAUAAUAGCUACAGCACAGUGCACCAUUGUAGAAGUCAAAGCCACUGUUUCAAAUGCUACAAGAACAGAGAGAUGACAAUUAAAUUGCAUAAAUAAACCACC
Long non-coding RNA from Oncorhynchus kisutch (coho salmon), 1113 nucleotides. RefSeq lists it as uncharacterized. The record is from RefSeq and is a predicted model, not a curated record. NCBI's taxonomy places the organism in Eukaryota, Metazoa, Chordata, Actinopteri, Salmoniformes, Salmonidae. The transcript is spliced from 3 exons.